UUUCGGGGGUACACGAGCGGCGAACGGGUGAGUAACACGUGGGUGACCUGCCCUCCACUCUGGGAUAAGCCCGGGAAACUGGGUCUAAUACCGGAUAGGACCACUGAUCGCAUGGUUGGUGGUGGAAAGUUUUUUCGGUGGGGGAUGGGCCCGCGGCCUAUCAGCUUGUUGGUGGGGUGAUGGCCUACCAAGGCGGUGACGGGUAGCCGGCCUGAGAGGGCGACCGGCCACACUGGGACUGAGACACGGCCCAGACUCCUACGGGAGGCAGCAGUGGGGAAUAUUGCGCAAUGGGCGGAAGCCUGACGCAGCGACGCCGCGUGGGGGAUGACGGCCUUCGGGUUGUAAACCUCUUUCGCCAGGGACGAAGAGCAAUUGACGGUACCUGGAGAAGAAGCACCGGCCAACUACGUGCCAGCAGCCGCGGUAACACGUAGGGUGCGAGCGUUGUCCGGAAUUAUUGGGCGUAAAGAGCUCGUAGGCGGUGUGUCGCGUCGGCCGUGAAAACUUGGGGCUUAACUCUGAGCGUGCGGUCGAUACGGGCAUCACUUGAGUUCGGCAGGGGAGACUGGAAUUCCUGGUGUAGCGGUGAAAUGCGCAGAUAUCAGGAGGAACACCGGUGGCGAAGGCGGGUCUCUGGGCCGAUACUGACGCUGAGGAGCGAAAGCGUGGGGAGCGAACAGGAUUAGAUACCCUGGUAGUCCACGCCGUAAACGUUGGGCGCUAGGUGUGGGGACCAU
This 740-nucleotide ribosomal RNA is filed under the name Pseudonocardia alni subsp. carboxydivorans. Its description in RNAcentral is "bacterial SSU rRNA". It matches the Rfam family "Bacterial small subunit ribosomal RNA", at positions 79 to 832 of the family's 1533-position model. Lineage: Bacteria; Bacillati; Actinomycetota; Actinomycetes; Pseudonocardiales; Pseudonocardiaceae. The record is from RNAcentral.